UGUAAGAAAUCUAAAACCUUACAAAGAACCGUCGUCAGAUCCGAAAACCAAUUCUGGGAAUUUCAACCAGAUCCAGCAGACAGGCCAACAUGGGCGUGGAUUUCGGGAGAAAGAUGCUGAAGAUCCCUGCCUGGACACACAAACACACACAAAACCAUGCACUCUCCACCACCACCACCACCACCACCCUGAAGAGGGGAAGAGAAAGAAAUAAAAACCAACUCCAGGGUGCAGGCCGGCCUGCUUCCGGCUGUCUGGAGGCAGACUGACCGCCAUUCUCUCAUCCCCCACCCCCUACCCCCUGUGCCCAGUGUGACGCCAAGCCCAACCUGGAUCUGUUCUGAAAAGGGGGGGGGGGGUUGUGAAAUGCCACAAGAUCAGUAGCAAGUAGCAGCUGCGGCGUUUCUCUCCUGGGAACCCCACUGCUUAGAAGCCUCCCGAGUGAUGUUUGUUUAACCAACAGCUUUCAAAGUAAACAGAGGCCAAGCGCUCCAAAGAAGUUGAAAUAUAACCCUUACAAGAAUUUGGGGCCGCAGCGCUGGCGGAACAAGUAAUUAUUUUAAGCAAUAAAGCUUCCAUCCCCAAUAAGGGUCCACCACGGUGCCCAAAGGAAACUAAAAUCGCCCUAAAGAUAUACAUUCAUCGAAAGGGCUCAUGACAAUAAAAUGACCUCAAAGAGCAUCACCCUUCGUCCACCCACACACCUGCGGGGUCGGUCGUCCGUGAGCGAAGGGGGCACACAACCGGCUCGAUUUGUGGGAAGUGGGCGAAAACCAUCGAAGGGAGGGUACAUUCCCUGCCCCGGGAGUAGAAAAGAGUAGGCUGGGAGCUCUGCGCCGCCAACCCUGGCUUUGCCUCAGGCACCGAACUUUCCAAUAUCAAGAUAUUAACAGAUGGCGGUGAGCACAUGGAGGGCUGUUACUUACAUAAUCCAGCCACUCCGCCCGGCCGCGCCGAGCCCGGCAAGGCGUCCGCCAGGCCGCGCGCGCGCCUCCCGAGGGGGGCUCCUGCACCCCCCCACCCCAGAUAACGUGUCCUUUCUCCAUCCCCGCCCGGCUCUUCGGGGGCUUAGCAUUUGGAGAGGUCGUGCUUUCAGAAAAACAUUCGCAUCGAUCGGGUUGUGCUUUACCGUCUUCAGUGCACCGCGAUGGCAAACCUUUCCUCCAGAAGGAACCAAUGAAACUGCAGGACAAAAAGUUCUAUUCAAGAAGGGAACAAGAAGAAGGGGAAAAAAGAUCAACAGUCCUAGGUCCAACCUCAGGAAUCAUCCUCAACCCUGGAAGGGCAUCCACCUGGGAAGACCUGGAUGGUUGCAGACAAAAGGUGUAUCCUAUUCAUCCACAGCAGUGAAAUCUGAUCUGAACAGCCCUGGGACCAGUCCUGGCUGCCACUCAGACCCUCCUGCUGGCUUCUGGCCUCUCAAGCUCCUCUGUUCUUGA
RNAcentral lists this long non-coding RNA (1439 nucleotides) under Canis lupus familiaris (dog). Its description in RNAcentral is "lncRNA (ENSCAFG00030005558.1)". Lineage: Eukaryota; Metazoa; Chordata; Mammalia; Carnivora; Canidae. The record is from RNAcentral.